AAACUUCAUUCUACUGAAAGCGUUAUCAUCGCCAUCCUCUGCUAUAUUGAUUUGAACAGACAUCCUUCACACCAGAGUCUCCCAUAGUCUUCUGUGGUUUGGAUCAACAGGGGUGAUGACAAUCGCUGGGACCCGGGAUGGGGCUCAGGAAUUUGCUUUUUGAAUGAGCACAGCGGGUGCAUCUCCUGCACGCUGAAGUUUGAGGAACUGCUACAUAACACCAAAGCAGACCCAGAGAGCAGGUCCCUGCCGUGAACUUCCUUUGCAAACGAGAAAGGCUAGUGAGAGAGAGCGCAAGCUGAGGAGUCAGCCAUCCCUGCACUGGAAUCCAAGAUGUUUUACAUACAACUGCCUGAUGUGAGCAAGUUUCUUAACCUUGACUUAAUCUCCAUGAGCUUUGAUUCCUCCAUCUCUAAAUUUGAAAUAAUG
This 429-nucleotide long non-coding RNA is filed under the name Equus caballus (horse). RNAcentral's name for it is "lncRNA (ENSECAG00000047938.1)". The record is from RNAcentral. Lineage: Eukaryota; Metazoa; Chordata; Mammalia; Perissodactyla; Equidae.